CCUACGGGAGGCAGCAGUGGGGAAUUUUGGACAAUGGGCGCAAGCCUGAUCCAGCAAUGCCGCGUGAGUGAAGAAGGCCUUCGGGUUGUAAAGCUCUUUUGUCAGGGAAGAAACGGUGGGGGCUAAUAUCCCUUGCUAAUGACGGUACCUGAAGAAUAAGCACCGGCUAACUACGUGCCAGCAGCCGCGGUAAUACGUAGGGUGCAAGCGUUAAUCGGAAUUACUGGGCGUAAAGCGUGCGCAGGCGGUUUUGUAAGUUUGUCGUGAAAUCCCCGGGCUCAACCUGGGAAUGGCGAUGAAGACUGCAAGGCUAGAAUCUGGCAGAGGGGGGUAGAAUUCCACGUGUAGCAGUGAAAUGCGUAGAGAUGUGGAGGAACACCGAUGGCGAAGGCAGCCCCCUGGGUCAAGAUUGACGCUCAUGCACGAAAGCGUGGGGAGCAAACAGGAUUAGAUACCCUGGUAGUCCACGCCCUAAACGAUGUCUACUAGUUGUCGGGUUUUAAUUAACUUGGUAACGCAGCUAACGCGUGAAGUAGACCGCCUGGGGAGUACGGUCGCAAGAUUAAAACUCAAAUGAAAUUGACGG
RNAcentral lists this ribosomal RNA (586 nucleotides) under uncultured bacterium. RNAcentral describes it as "bacterial SSU rRNA". It matches the Rfam family "Bacterial small subunit ribosomal RNA", at positions 338 to 916 of the family's 1533-position model. The record is from RNAcentral.